RNAcentral lists this ribosomal RNA (484 nucleotides) under uncultured bacterium. RNAcentral describes it as "partial 16S ribosomal RNA". It matches the Rfam family "Bacterial small subunit ribosomal RNA", at positions 28 to 523 of the family's 1533-position model. The record is from RNAcentral.
GACGAACGCUGGCGGCGUGCUUAACACAUGCAAGUCGAACGAUGAAGCCGGAGCUUGCCCUGGUGAAUUAGUGGCGAACGGGUGAGUAACACGUGAGUAACCUGCCCUUGACUCUGGGAUAACUGCUAGAAAUGGUAGCUAAUACUGGCUACGACCCUCGGAGGCAUCUUCAGGGGGUGGAAAUAAUUUCGGUCAAGGAUGGACUCGCGGCCUAUCAGCUAGUUGGUGAGGUAACUGCUCACCAAGGCGACGACGGGUAGCCGGCCUGAGAGGGUGAGCGGCCACGCUGGGACUGUGACUAGGCCCAGACGCCUGCGGGAGGAAGCAGUGGGGAAUAUUGCACAAUGGGCGCAAGACUGAGGCAGCAACGCCGCGUGAGGGAUGACGGCGUUCGGGUUGUAAACCUCUUUUAGUAGGGAAGAAGCGAAAGUGACGGUACGUGCAGGAAAAGCGCCGGCUAACUACGUGCCAGCAGCCGCCGUAA